This 122-nucleotide ribosomal RNA is filed under the name Arabis alpina (gray rockcress). The record is from RNAcentral. Lineage: Eukaryota; Viridiplantae; Streptophyta; Magnoliopsida; Brassicales; Brassicaceae.
GGGUGCGAUCAUACCAGCACUAAUGCACCGGAUCCCAUCAGAACUCCGCAGUUAAGCGUGCUUGGGCGAGAGUAGUACUAGGAUGGGUGACCUCCUGGGAAGUCCUCGUGUUGCACCCCCUU